UGCCCCGCCUGGGGAGUACGGUCGCAAGGCUGAAACUCAAUAGGAAUUGACUGGGGCCCGCACAAGCGGUGGUAGCAUGUGGUUUAAUUCGACGCAACGCGCAGAACCUUUACCUGGGUUUGACAUGUCACUGCGAUGCCAUGCGAGGGGCAGUUCAUUCGGGACGGUGUCACAGGUGCUGCAUGGCUGUCGUCAGCUCGUGUCGUGAGUAUGUUGGGUUUAGUCCCGCAUACGAGCGCAUACCCUUGCCAUUCGUUACCAGCAGUGUAGGCUUGGGGUACUCGAGGGGGACUGCCGGUGUCAAGCCGGAGGAAGUGGGGUAUUACGUCAAGUCCUCAUGGCCCUGUACGCCCAGGGCUACUACUACGUGCUACAUAUGGAGCGGACAACGGGGAGCGUACCACUGCGUAGGGGGAGCCAAUCCCUGAAACCGGUUCUGAGUGCGGAUUGGAGUCUGCAACUCGACUCCAUGAAGGUGGAUCGCUAGUAUCGCGGAUCAGCAUGCCGCGGUGUAUACGUCCCGGCAUUGUACACACCGCCCGUCA
This 545-nucleotide ribosomal RNA is filed under the name uncultured organism. RNAcentral's name for it is "bacterial SSU rRNA". It matches the Rfam family "Bacterial small subunit ribosomal RNA", at positions 865 to 1399 of the family's 1533-position model. The record is from RNAcentral.